AAGACUAUACUUUCAGGGAUCAUUUCUAUAGUGUUUGACACAGAAAUGCGUUUCGUAAGUGUUAAGUCUUGCUACCCACGAUGAUGAUCUGAGACAUUCCUUUCUGAGCGUGAAUCUGACAGAGGUCAAUGGGAACGAUGACGUUUGUUUGCCAUGGCACUGGGGGUAGCUUUCGCUUGAGAUGCUAUAACAUCAAAAUAAACAUGGAAGGUGAAAUGAAUAUGCUGC
Molecule: small nucleolar RNA, 228 nt
Gene: U3
Rfam family: Small nucleolar RNA U3
About the family: Small nucleolar RNAs (snoRNAs) are involved in the processing and modification of rRNA in the nucleolus. There are two main classes of snoRNAs: the box C/D class, and the box H/ACA class. U3 snoRNA is a member of the box C/D class.
Source: Ensembl